Molecule: unclassified non-coding RNA, 305 nt
Filed under: uncultured Lycoperdon
Lineage: Eukaryota; Fungi; Basidiomycota; Agaricomycetes; Agaricales; Lycoperdaceae
Description: sequence contains ITS2
Rfam family: 5.8S ribosomal RNA (bases 1-52)
Source: RNAcentral
AACGCACCUUGCGCUCCUUGGUAUUCCGAGGAGCAUGCCUGUUUGAGUGUCAUUAAAUUCUCAACCCCUCCAGCUUUUGCGAGUUGUGAUGGGGCUUGGAUCUGGGAGUUUGCGGGUCUUUAUCAAUAAAGGUCAGCUCUCCUGAAAUGCAUUAGCGGAACCGUUUGCAGUCCCGUCACUAGUGUGAUAAUUAUCUACACUGUGAUGAUUGCUCUCUGACUAGUUCAGCUGCUAAUCGUCCACUCUGGACAACACUUAAUGAACUUCUUGACCUCAAAUCAGGUAGGACUACCCGCUGAACUUAA